RNAcentral lists this ribosomal RNA (497 nucleotides) under uncultured bacterium. RNAcentral's name for it is "partial 16S ribosomal RNA". It matches the Rfam family "Bacterial small subunit ribosomal RNA", at positions 28 to 507 of the family's 1533-position model. The record is from RNAcentral.
GAUGAACGCUGGCGGCGUGCCUAAUACAUGCAAGUCGAGCGAACAGACGAGGAGCUUGUUCCUUUGACGUUAGCGGCGGACGGGUGAGUAACACGUGGAUCACCUACUUAUAUGACUGGGAUAAUUUCGGAAAACCGGAGAUAAUACCGGAGAAUAUAUUGAACCGCAUGGUGCAAUGGUGAAUGACGGCUUUCGUGUCUCAUAUAGAUGGUUCCGCGCCGCAUUAGCUAGUUGGUAAGGUAACGGCUUACCAAGGCAACGAUGCGUAGCCGACCUGAGAGGGUGAUCGGCCACACUGGAACUGAGACACGGUCCAGACUCCUACGGGAGGCAGCAGUAGGGAAUCUUCCGCAAUGGGCGAAAGCCUGACGGAGCAACGCCGCGUGAGUGAUGAAGGUCUUCGGAUCGUAAAGCUCUGUUAUUAGGGAAGAACAGAUGUGUGAGUAACUAUGCACGUCUUGACGGUACCUAAUCAGAAAGCCACGGCUAACUACGUG